Molecule: ribosomal RNA, 472 nt
Filed under: uncultured bacterium
Lineage: Bacteria
Description: bacterial SSU rRNA
Rfam family: Bacterial small subunit ribosomal RNA
Source: RNAcentral
GAUGAACGCUGGCGGUGUGCUUGACACAUGCAAGUUGAACGAGGUGAUUAUUUAGGUUUAUCUUAAAUAUCAUUCGUGGCGAACGGGCGAGUAAUACGCAAGUAUCUACCUUUAGGACCGAGAAUAACCCACAGAAAUGAGGGACAAUCCUUGAUAUGCUGAGAAGUGAAAGAUUAAGUUCGCCUAGAGAUGAGCUUGCGCUUGAUUAGCUUGUUGGUGGGGUAAGAGCCUACCAAGGCGAUGAUCAAUAGUCGGUUUGAGAGGAUGAUCGGCCGCAUUGAAAUUGAGAACGGUUCAAACUUCUACGGAAGGCUGCAGUGAGGAAUUUUCCGCAAUGGACGAAAGUCUGACGGAGCAACACCGCGUGAUGGAAGAAGGUCCAAGGAUUGUAAACAUCUUUAAUUACUAAACAUAAUGAUAGUAGGUAAUCAAAAAGCGUCAGCUAACUACGUGCCAGCAGCCGCGGUAAAAC